UUGCUCUUGGGGAUUAGUGGCGAACGGGUGAGUAACACGUGAGUAACCUGCCCUUGACUCUGGGAUAAGCGUUGGAAACGACGUCUAAUACCGGAUACGAGCUUCCACCGCAUGGUGAGUUGCUGGAAAGAAUUUUGGUCAAGGAUGGACUCGCGGCCUAUCAGCUUGUUGGUGAGGUAACGGCUCACCAAGGCGACGACGGGUAGCCGGCCUGAGAGGGUGACCGGCCACACUGGGACUGAGACACGGCCCAGACUCCUACGGGAGGCAGCAGUGGGGAAUAUUGCACAAUGGGCGAAAGCCUGAUGCAGCAACGCCGCGUGAGGGACGACGGCCUUCGGGUUGUAAACCUCUUUUAGCAGGGAAGAAGCGAAAGUGACGGUACCUGCAGAAAAAGCACCGGCUAACUACGUGCCAGC
Molecule: ribosomal RNA, 419 nt
Filed under: Plantibacter sp. R10.61
Lineage: Bacteria; Bacillati; Actinomycetota; Actinomycetes; Micrococcales; Microbacteriaceae
Description: bacterial SSU rRNA
Rfam family: Bacterial small subunit ribosomal RNA
Source: RNAcentral